AUUUGCAAAAAGGGAGAAAAGGUAAAAUAUGAAUAGAAAGUUUUAUGUUUCUUAGCUAAAAAAAGAAGCAUUUAAAUUUUACACAAAGAAGUCCAGGUAUGGUGGCUCACACCUGUAAUCCCAGCACUUUGUGAAAAAUAAGAAAUAAAUAAAUAAUAAAAAUAAACAAAUACAUUUUACACAAAGAACCACCAUAUCUAGAUCUUUAUGCUGAUUCAUUUCUCUUAAAACAAUGGGAAACCCCAGCUGCAGACCUCAAUCUACAGUGCAUAUGAAGAAAUUUGACUGAUUUUGUAAUGUCAUGAAUCUUCUCUGCUU
This 318-nucleotide long non-coding RNA is filed under the name Pan troglodytes (chimpanzee). RNAcentral describes it as "long non-coding RNA NONPTRT001579". The record is from RNAcentral. Lineage: Eukaryota; Metazoa; Chordata; Mammalia; Primates; Hominidae.